GUCCCUUGAGAUCAAGAGGCAGGACUAUAGGCAAUGUACACUUCACUCAAUGAAGUGGAUCAGUUGUGGUCUUGUUUCUUUGGGCACUACUCCCUUUUCAAGAUGAUUCCUUUGUGAGGUUAACGCAGGAGAGAAAACCUUGCAGGGCAGUGCAGUUUCUUGAGGAAAGACACUGUGCCUGCUCCUGGGACUUGUUUGAUGCCAGCCAAGCGGGAAUGCAGUACAGCUUCUUCACCAUAACUAGGUUUGGUCCACAGCUUCCCUUGGACAUGAAUGAGUUGACUGCUAUGCUACCCAUCACCAAACUGCAUGUUCAAAAGGACGGCCUUUGAGCAAAUAAAUAAGACUGGACAUUUCAAGGAUGGCUGUCGGGGAGGGAAUGUUUAUUUACUUCUGAGGAUAUACCGGACAGACCGUUCUCCUCCGCUUCGGCUUCUACUGCAC
This is a long non-coding RNA of Alligator sinensis (Chinese alligator), 444 nucleotides long. RefSeq lists it as uncharacterized. Lineage: Eukaryota; Metazoa; Chordata; Crocodylia; Alligatoridae. The transcript has 3 exons. The record is from RefSeq and is a predicted model, not a curated record.